Portunus trituberculatus (swimming crab) is the source of this 219-nucleotide long non-coding RNA. RefSeq lists it as uncharacterized. The transcript is spliced from 2 exons. NCBI's taxonomy places the organism in Eukaryota, Metazoa, Arthropoda, Malacostraca, Decapoda, Portunidae. The record is from RefSeq and is a predicted model, not a curated record.
AGAGAGAGAGAGAGAGAGAGAGAGAGAGAGAGAGAGAGAGAGAGAGAGAGAGAGAGAGAGAGAGAGAGAGAGAGAGAGAGAGAGAGAGAGAGAGAGAGAGAGAGAGAGAAUAAUAAGUGUGUUAUAUAAUAGAUCUUAUAUACCUGAAAUUUCGAAAUAGACACAAGAAAUUUUGAAAUGAAAAUGAAAAAAAGAAAACUAAAUAGAAACAAAAUUAAA